UCCAAGGUCCAUGCUGUAGAGACCAGC
Molecule: non-coding RNA, 27 nt
Filed under: Mus musculus (house mouse)
Lineage: Eukaryota; Metazoa; Chordata; Mammalia; Rodentia; Muridae
Source: RNAcentral